GUUAAUUGUUAGUUCACGUUAGUUAAUAGUGCAUUAACAAAUGUUUACAACUUUUAUUUUUUUUAAAACGUAAUAAAUGCUGUAAAGGUAUUGUUCAUUGUAACUUCAUGUUAGUUAAUAGUGCAUUAACAAAUGUUUACAACUUUUAUUUUAAAAAAUGUAAUAACUGCUGUAAAGGUAUUGUUAAUUGUUAAUUCAUGUUAGUUAAUAGUGCAUUAACAAAUGUUUACAACUUUUAUUUUUUUUAAAACGUAAUAAAUGCUGUAAAGGUAUUGUUAAUUGUUAAUUCAUGUUAGUUAAUAGUGCAUUAACAAAUGUUUACAACUUUUAUUUUAAAAACAUAAUAAAUGCUGUAAAGGUAUUGUUAAUUGUUAAUUCAUGUUAGUUAAUAGUGCAUUAACAAAUGUUUACAACUUUUAUUU
Long non-coding RNA from Myxocyprinus asiaticus (Chinese sucker), 422 nucleotides. RefSeq lists it as uncharacterized. Lineage: Eukaryota; Metazoa; Chordata; Actinopteri; Cypriniformes; Catostomidae. The record is from RefSeq and is a predicted model, not a curated record. The transcript has 2 exons.